Molecule: ribosomal RNA, 512 nt
Filed under: uncultured bacterium
Lineage: Bacteria
Description: partial 16S ribosomal RNA
Rfam family: Bacterial small subunit ribosomal RNA
Source: RNAcentral
GAUGAACGCUGGCGGCGUGCCUAAUACAUGCAAGUCGAACGAAACUUCUUUAUCACCGAGUGCUUGCACUCACCGAUAAAGAGUUGAGUGGCGAACGGGUGAGUAACACGUGGGCAACCUGCCCAAAAGAGGGGGAUAACACUUGGAAACAGGUGCUAAUACCGCAUAACCAUAGUUACCGCAUGGUAACUGUGUAAAAGGUGGCUAUACUACCGCUUUUGGAUGGGCCCGCGGCGCAUUAGCUAGUUGGUAGGGUAAAGGCUUACCAAGGCAAUGAUGCGUAGCCGAAUUGAGAGGUUGAUCGGCCACAUUGGGACUGAGACACGGCCCAAACUCCUACGGGAGGCAGCAGUAGGGAAUCUUCCACAAUGGGCGAAAGCCUGAUGGAGCAACGCCGCGUGGGUGAAGAAGGUCUUCGGAUCGUAAAACCCUGUUGUUAGAGAAGAAAGUGCGUGAGAGUAACUGUUCACGUUUCGACGGUAUCUAACCAGAAAGCCACGGCUAACUACGUG